UGCCAGCCGCCGCGGUAAUACGGAGGGUGCAAGCGUUGUUCGGAUUUACUGGGCGUAAAGAGCGCGUAGGCGGCUUCAUAAGUUAAGGGUGAAAUCCCGGGGCUUAACUCCGGAACUGCUCUUAAAACUGUGGAGCUAGAGACAAUCAGAGGUGGGUGGAAUUCCAGGUGUAGAGGUGAAAUUCGUAGAUAUCUGGAGGAACACCGGUGGCGAAGGCGGCCCACUGGGAUUGUUCUGACGCUGAGGUGCGAAAGUGUGGGGAGCAAACAGGAUUAGAUA
Molecule: ribosomal RNA, 279 nt
Filed under: uncultured bacterium
Lineage: Bacteria
Description: partial 16S ribosomal RNA
Rfam family: Bacterial small subunit ribosomal RNA
Source: RNAcentral